Long non-coding RNA from Hippoglossus stenolepis (Pacific halibut), 363 nucleotides. RefSeq lists it as uncharacterized. The record is from RefSeq and is a predicted model, not a curated record. The transcript has 3 exons. NCBI's taxonomy places the organism in Eukaryota, Metazoa, Chordata, Actinopteri, Pleuronectiformes, Pleuronectidae.
CUCAAAUAGAAGUCGACUGUCACAGAAGAAGAGAGGUUUGCAGUCCAUCAUAUGUGAACUGAGCUGAAUUGAAGGGAAAAGGGAACAUUUUAAGAACCUGUUCGUCGGAAAAAGAAGGGAAUCAAUUUCAUCUUGUACCGAUCUAUAUGGGGAUUGCAUUGACAGGAUGGGGACCAGAAAGAUCAUAUCAGUUUUCCUGAUUCUAACAGUUCUUUACGGAUCAGUCCAAACUCAAACAACUGCAGCAACAACAGCUACAACUGCUGCACCAACAGCUACAACUGCGGCAACGACAGCUUCAACUGCGGCAACGACAGCUACAACUGCGGCACCGACAGCUACAACUGCGGCACCGACAGCUAC